ACGAGGGGUGCAAGCGUUAAUCGGAAUUACUGGGCGUAAAGCGUACGUAGGUGGUUUGUUAAGCCAGCUGUGAAAUCCCCGGGCUCAACCUGGGAAUUGCAGUUGGAACUGGCAAGCUAGAGUAGGGUAGAGGGGUGUGGAAUUCCAGGUGUAGCGGUGAAAUGCGUAGAUAUCUGGAGGAACAUCAGUGGCGAAGGCGACACCCUGGACUCAUACUGACACUGAGGUACGAAAGCGUGGGGAGCAAACAGG
Molecule: ribosomal RNA, 252 nt
Filed under: uncultured bacterium
Lineage: Bacteria
Description: partial 16S ribosomal RNA
Rfam family: Bacterial small subunit ribosomal RNA
Source: RNAcentral